Molecule: ribosomal RNA, 253 nt
Filed under: uncultured bacterium
Lineage: Bacteria
Description: partial 16S ribosomal RNA
Rfam family: Bacterial small subunit ribosomal RNA
Source: RNAcentral
UAUGGAGGGUGCAAACGUUGCUCGGAAUCAUUGGGUGUAAAGCGCACGUAUGCGGAUUUGUUAGUCAGGGGUGAAAUCCCGAGGCUCAACCUCGGAACUGCCUUUGAUACUGCAAAUCUCGAGUCCGGAAGAGGUGAGUGGAAUUCCUAGUGUAGAGGUGAAAUUCGUAGAUAUUAGGAAGAACACCAGUGGCGAAGGCGGCUCACUGGUCCGGUACUGACGCUGAGGUGCGAAAGCGUGGGGAGCAAACAGG